UGGGGAAUAUUGCACAAUGGAGGGGACUCUGAUGCAGCGACGCCGCGUGAACGAAGAAGGCUUUCGAGUCGUAAAGUUCUUUUAUAUGGGAAGAUAAUGACGGUACCAUAAGAAAAAGCCCCGGCUAACUACGUGCCAGCAGCCGCGGUAAUACGUAGGGGGCUAGCGUUGUCCGGAAUCACUGGGCGUAAAGGGUUCGCAGGCGGAAAUGCAAGUCAGGUGUAAAAGGCAGUAGCUUAACUACUGUAAGCAUUUGAAACUGCAUAUCUUGAGAAGAGUAGAGGUAAGUGGAAUUUUUAGUGUAGCGGUGAAAUGCGUAGAUAUUAAAAAGAAUACCGGUGGCGAAGGCGGCUUACUGGGCUCAUUCUGACGCUGAGGAACGAAAGCGUGGGUAGCAAACAGG
This 403-nucleotide ribosomal RNA is filed under the name bacterium. RNAcentral describes it as "partial 16S ribosomal RNA". It matches the Rfam family "Bacterial small subunit ribosomal RNA", at positions 355 to 776 of the family's 1533-position model. The record is from RNAcentral.